This 117-nucleotide small RNA is filed under the name Metabacillus harenarius. Its description in RNAcentral is "Bacillus weihaiensis RNA Staph. aureus E (RoxS)". It matches the Rfam family "RNA Staph. aureus E (RoxS)". Rfam says of the family: It was shown to be regulated by the presence of nitric oxide (NO). In Bacillus subtilis it controls expression of genes with functions related to oxidative stress and oxidation-reduction reactions and it was renamed RoxS (for related to oxidative stress). Lineage: Bacteria; Bacillati; Bacillota; Bacilli; Caryophanales; Bacillaceae. The record is from Rfam by way of RNAcentral.
GUGAAAUUAAUCACAAACAAACAUUUACCCCUUUGUUUGACCGUGAAAAAUUUCUCCCAUCCCCUUUGUUGUCGUUAAGACAUAAAAAAACCCUGUACAUUUGUAUAGGGUUUUUUA